Long non-coding RNA from Lathyrus oleraceus (garden pea), 647 nucleotides. RefSeq lists it as uncharacterized. The transcript is spliced from 2 exons. Lineage: Eukaryota; Viridiplantae; Streptophyta; Magnoliopsida; Fabales; Fabaceae. The record is from RefSeq and is a predicted model, not a curated record.
AACUCACACGGAUCACUCAGCCUCCAUAAUUUCUCUUACAAAAGGACAUGUAGCUCACUCCCUAAACAAACAAAAAACCCCUAGCAAACCCCUACACAAAUUCCCUUCACACAUCACUCAAAGCUCAUCCUCAUAAGGUUUUUGAGAGCUUUAUCUUAAAGAUUUAAAAAUAUGAGUAAUAGCCUCACAUGCAUUAGACAACAAAAGAAGUAGAGGGAGAAGAAGAAGUUCAGACGAGCAGAGAAAGCAGACGAAAGAAGAAGAGAAUAUUAGAAGUAUUAUGUAGAUGAGGUAGUGGUGGUUCGCCAUAAUACUUGCUAGAGUUCUGGAAACUCCGACGAGGAUCUCUUACUGUGGAAACUACUAUGUCAACUCUCAACUCAAUGGAAUGGAAACUCUCAUUCUCCUGAGUGUCUACAUUAUUCCCACUAAAUCCCCCACUUAACUAGAUUGUGCUGCUAUUUGUCUAGAUAAUUAACCAAAUUGAAUUUCUAAAAUUUUUAUGGAAGUUUAAAUGUUCUUACUCAUGGUGUCAUGACUCUUGGACAUUGCUUCUUGGGUCUUAGACAUUGCUUCAUGAUUUCUUCCUACUUGUUCAAAACUUGCUUGAGUGACCUUUAUAAAUUGAGCUAGAGCCUUUUCAGGUU